UGAAGGCAUAUAUUUUUGUUGUCUGGUUCUCUGUGUUUUUGAUGAGAUGUAUUUCUCAAUUACUUUCUUAGAUUUCUCCAAUCAUUAUCAAACCAUUUUUCAUGAUCUAUUGUUUUUGCUCUUAUGUUUCUUUAGAUUAGCCAAGGAGGACCAUUGGUCAAAUAUAAAGUUUAUGUUCCAAAUUGCCAAAUUUACACCUUCAUUGCUGCAGGAGAAUGUUAAGGCUAAAAAGUUGUCCAGGAGAGAUUGUAUUUUUUGGCUACUAAUUGCUUUUUGGUAGAUGUCUGUACUGUUUGCACUCCAUCUAUAGGCCUGUUUAGUACCAUGUCAUUUAUUGGGCCGUGAUGCUUCAUGGUUGGGUUCCGCUCUUCUCAGAUUCACUGUGAUUUUACUGUGGUCUGAGAGAGGUGUUAGUGGGCUGACUGUGAAGGCUCUUAGAGACUCUGGGUUUAGGUCAGUGGGCUGACUGUGAAGGCUCUUAGAGACUCUGGGUUUAGGUCAGUGGGCUGACUGUGAAGGCUCUUAGAGACUCUGGGUUUAGGUCAGUGGGCUGACUGUGAAGGCUCUGAGAGACUCUGGGUUUAGGUCAGUGGGCUGACUGUGAAGGCUCUGAGAGACUCUGGGUUUAGGUCAGUGGGCUGACUGUGAAGGCUCUGAGAGACUCUGGGUUGAGGUCAGUGAGGAAGUAGUCUACAGUACUGCUGCCAAGGGAUGAGCUGUAGGUGUACCUACCAUAGGAGUCCCCUCUCAGCCUACCAUUGACUAUGUACAGACCCAGUGUUCGACAGAGCUUCAGGAGCUGUACUC
This 807-nucleotide long non-coding RNA is filed under the name Salmo salar (Atlantic salmon). RNAcentral describes it as "lncRNA (ENSSSAG00000118137.1)". Lineage: Eukaryota; Metazoa; Chordata; Actinopteri; Salmoniformes; Salmonidae. The record is from RNAcentral.